RNAcentral lists this small nuclear RNA (192 nucleotides) under Anneissia japonica. RNAcentral's name for it is "U2 spliceosomal RNA". It matches the Rfam family "U2 spliceosomal RNA". From Rfam's summary of the family: U2 is a small nuclear RNA (snRNA) component of the spliceosome (involved in pre-mRNA splicing). Complementary binding between U2 snRNA (in an area lying towards the 5' end but 3' to hairpin I) and the branchpoint sequence (BPS) of the intron results the bulging out of an unpaired adenosine, on the BPS, which initiates a nucleophilic attack at the intronic 5' splice site, thus starting the first of two transesterification reactions that mediate splicing. The record is from RNAcentral. Lineage: Eukaryota; Metazoa; Echinodermata; Crinoidea; Comatulida; Comatulidae.
AUCGCUUCUCGGCCUUUUGGCUAAGAUCAUGUGUAGUAUCUGUUCUUUUCAGCUUAAUAUCUGAAAUGCUGCUCAUUGAGUAGCUUCUAUAUUAAACUGAUUUUUGAAAUUAGGCCAUGGAGUAGGAGCUUGCUCCGUCCUGGCCACGGGUUGGCCUGGUAUUGCAGUACCUCCAGGAUUGGCCCAUCCUCU